This 443-nucleotide ribosomal RNA is filed under the name uncultured bacterium. RNAcentral describes it as "partial 16S ribosomal RNA". It matches the Rfam family "Bacterial small subunit ribosomal RNA", at positions 338 to 795 of the family's 1533-position model. The record is from RNAcentral.
CCUACGGGAGACAGCAGUGGGGAAUAUUGGGCAAUGGGCGCAAGCCUGACCCAGCAACGCCGCGUGAAGGAAGAAGGCUUUCGGGUUGUAAACUUCUUUUCUCAGGGACGAAGCAAGUGCCGGUACCUGAGGACUAAGCCACGGCUAACUACGUGCCAGCAGCCGCGGUAAUACGUAGGGGGCAAGCGUUAUCCGGAUUUACUGGGUGUAAAGGGCGGGUAGGCGGCGACGCAAGUCAGAUGUGAAAACCACGGGCUCAACCUGUGGCCUGCAUUUGAAACUGUGUUUCUUGAGUACUGGAGAGGCAGGCGGAAUGCGUAGUGUAGCGGUGAAAUGCGUAGAUAUUAGGAGGAACACCAGUGGCGAAGGCGGUAUGCUGGACAGCAACUGACGCUGAGGCGCGAAAGCGUGGGGAGCGAACAGGAUUAGAUACCCCAGUAGUC